RNAcentral lists this ribosomal RNA (483 nucleotides) under uncultured bacterium. Its description in RNAcentral is "partial 16S ribosomal RNA". It matches the Rfam family "Bacterial small subunit ribosomal RNA", at positions 899 to 1397 of the family's 1533-position model. The record is from RNAcentral.
ACUCAAAUGAAUUGACGGGGACCCGCACAAGCGGUGGAUUAUGUUCUUUAAUUCGAUGCUAACCGAAGAACCUUACCAGGGUUUGACAUCCCGAGAAUUACUCCGAAAGGAGUGAGUGCUUUUAGAACUCGGUGACAGAUGUUGCAUGGCCGUCGUCAGCUCGUGUCGUGAGAUGUUUGGUUAAGUCCAUCAACGAGCGCAACCCUUGUGAUUAGUUGUAUUUUUCUAAUCAGACUGCCCCGGCAACGGGGAGGAAGGAGGGGAUGAUGUCAGGUCAGUAUUACUCUUACAUCCUGGGCUAGAAACGUAAUACAAUGGCGAGUACAAUGCGCAGCGAAGCCGCGAGGUGAAGCAAAUCGCAUCAAAACUCGUCCCAGUUCGGAUUGGAGGCUGAAACUCGCCUCCAUGAAGUCGGAAUCGCUAGUAAUCGCAGGUCAGCAAACUGCGGUGAAUACGUUCCCGGGUCUUGUACACACCGCCCGU